AUCUGCACAACUUAUCCAGAGUUCAUACAGCAUAUUAAUAAGAACAGAAGCCACAACUUAGUAAAUAGCUCAUCCAGUUUUCCUGACCGAAGCAUUUCUUGUGGAAAUAUCUGAUAUUUAGAAGAAAGCAAAAUGGUUGGCCAGGAAGACAUAAACAUAAUUAACAAGUCCGAUGAAGUUGGCAGCUCAGAAUCUUUCCUCUUCCUGCAAUAGGCAAAUAGUGUGACAAAAAUGAUCUAGACAAAUGAUGUUCAAAUCAAGCUUGCUUCUACAAAUAAGAGAAAGUAGUUGUGCUAUAUUUACUCAGGAAAGAAUUGCCAAAAGCAGGCACCGGUAAUAAUCUCCAAAUUCCAAAUGCAUAUGAAAAAAAGUAUUGACAAUCCAUUGUUCAUGGGCCUACUGCUUACCUUCACUACUCUAUCGUUCAUAAGCCUAUUGCUUAUCUUUCACUAAGUAGCCUGAAGGAUACAUUACUGUUCUGGUUGGAUAAAUAGGCUGCUCUCCCAGUAGUGAAAUGCUAAUGCUAACAAGAUUAAAGUGAAGAACUUGCAUACAUGCCGCAAAUACGUGUGCAACCAGCAAAAAUUUAGUUAGGUGAUAGAUAAAAUCCAGCAGCAAUAUUACCUAACAGAGGUACUUGGAGGACUGAGAGGGGAGGAAGGGCAUGGGAUAGCUGGACCUUACAUUGGUCAAGUAAGCGCCUCGGUUCCAAUGACAUCCUCCCUCCCAUUGGUAUACUGAGAAAAUGACUCCACUCUCCUGGUGCUCAUGUCAAUGGUGACCAGCCACAUCUUCUUUCUCACGUAACCGAACUCGCUGAUGACAAAGUGCGCUACAUGUGGCCUGUCCAUGUUGACUUGGGGGAACAUGAGAAUGUCAUCCAUUUUGGAUUGUCUGGUAGGGAUAUUGGCUACGAGACCUAUGAAAGUCUGGAUACCAGGAAAACGAGCGAAAUUGCUGACUCGCUCCUAGGAAGCUUGCGGUAGGCGCCCGGGGUUGGCAUACCAAAGCUCAUUGGAGGUGACCGUGUAGUCCUCUUCCCACACACCCCCGACCAUGUUCGGCUCCGUGAUGUUGCAUAACAUGAGGUAGUGGCACCUAAUAGUGAAGCCAACACCAGCCUUGAGUGCCCCAUAGCCAACCUUGUCGUUGUGGGCGACAUUGGUGAACAGGAGUGCACCCUCGUCACGGGUGGUCGUCACGGUGCGGUACAACCAGCAUCAGUCCUUGCUGCGAGUGUUGUUGUCAGGAAACUUGUCCAGAGGGAAUUGGCUGAAGACAACAGUAAGACAAUCCACAAAACUUCCGAAAUCAAAUGUAGGAUUUGAGUUUCUCUAGAGGAUUUGAGUUUCCAAACUAGGAUCAAACGAGAAUAUCAUCAAAUGAAACAAGUGCGAACUUUGAAACGCGGUUUCAUAGUCUUCACCGGCCGUCAGUCUGAUCUGACGGAAACCUACUGCGCGCAAAUCAAAUCAAGACAGGAAAACCAGCAAGAGUGUGCCAGCUCAUACAACAACUUGUCAGCGAUAGGAAGAAGUGCAAUUAACUGUUCAGGUAGAGUAGUUCUGAAGAAACUAUAUAUGACUGCUCUCUAUGUAAUGCCUCACGCAGGGACACACACGACACGGAGCACUGGAGUAGCGCCACGGCACGCCGAAAAAAAAGCGUCGCCUUCGCCUCGUUUGCAUGCUGCUGCUGCCCCCCUCAACCGCGUGUAAUGCUGCCACUUGUUAACUAGCAGAGGGAGUGAAAGUGGGAUGCAACAAGCUGGAGUAGUAGCUAGCAAUCCAGGCUUGCAACCACUGUAGCUAGCACCUGUUGUGACUGCAUGGUGAGGUCUUCAGGGAGAGAACACAAACAAAUAAGCGCAGACAAGUGGGCGACCAAUCUGGCGAAGCUGCUGGAGCCUGCUGCUGUGACUGCAUGGUGAGGUAGACGGAACUGCCAAAACCUGUUGCUGUGACCAUACGGACGGGCGAGAGACCAAGACGCGUCGAGUGGUGACGCGGUUCUGAGCCCAUGGUUCAAGGCAGCUGGAGGAGAGCCAGCGCUCCGCUGCAGGAGACGGCGCGUGCAGGCGGAGGAUGGUCGACAUGGGCACAACAACAGCGUUUGUGGGGGAGGGGGAUGUGAUUCGUGGCGGCAGCAACGACGAGGGGGAAGAGGAUGGCACUGGCCACUGGGGCUCUAGCAGUUGCUGUUACUCAUCAUUGUCGACGCCGACGACAAAAAGAAAAGGAAAAAAAACACUUUGGAUGGUUAGGUCGUUGCCUUGUUGCUAGAUUUGUCCUCGACGACCUGACUGAAUGGCGUCAGGAACGGUGACGGUGCCCCCCUCCUGGUAUCCCCAGCAGCUGGCGCGCUGAUGGCCACGGGCUUGGAACCGCCCAUGGGCGAUGUUGGUCAGCUGGUGGGAGGCCCUGAGCGUUGGGUGUGACCUGCCGAGCCGGCGCCGGCGCCGGGGGAGAGGGUUGGGCGGUUACCUACCGAGCUGGCGGCGGGGGUUGAAGCUACGAGGGGUGGGGCGUGCGCGCGACGGCGCGCCCAGGCGAGAGAGGAAGUGUACCUCCGCGCGGGGGUGGGGCUCCUAGAAGCUUCGCGGCACGACACGAGAAGGUUGCGAGGUCUUGUGUGGAACCGUAGAUGCGCGAUCGGACGACUGAAUGUUUUCGGGCCGACAUGGAUAGGCUGAAAGGCUGAGUUUUGGACCGGCUUUAUUAUAAAGGAAAUAAGACUUACGAAAUAAGUAGAUCAUAAUUCUAUCUUGUAGCCUAUUUUUUUUAUCUAAUUAAAGUAUGACUUGUUUUCACUAAUUUUGGCGAAAGUUGCUGUACAUUUUAUUUUGGCCAACGCAUAUUUUAUUAAAUUAGUUUAACAAAGCUUGUUAUUAGAAACUCGUAUGCCUCAUUUUUUAUCAUUCUGGCUCAUACCGAUUGAUGAAUAUUUGACUAUAACCUCAUCAAGACAAAAGUACAAUCUAGCUAAGGAUAGGAAUUUGGAUUCUAAGUAAAUGAGUUAUCUACAUUACGAAUUAAUAAGUACAAGGGAUUAUGUUCUUAAAGAACAUCAAAAUUAGUGGGAGCAAAAUCAUAACAAUUAAGUAUCAUAGCUUGUGACAUAAGUUAUUAAUAUACCUCUAAAAAGAUUAAGAUGCCCAAGAGAAAGUUAAUUGGGCUAAUCAUAACAAUUAAAGGCUAUCAUUUAGCCCAUUUUACCCCUAGUGUGAUUUCUAUUCUAUGCACAAUGUCUUAUACCCUAGGUUCCAACCAUAUUGUAUCGUGUCAAUUCUAGAAAUGUAAAAACAUCAAUGUAAAUUACAUAAAACUAUAAAAGUGAAGGAGAGAUGUAAGUGGAUAUCACAAUUUUUAGGAUCAAUUUAAUAUUUUAAAAUAGAGAUAUAUAAAAUUUGAUGUUGAUCUUUUUUUAUAUUGUCAAGCACAUUAUAAUAACUAAGUUUAUUGUAUUAUAUUGAUCUUUUCUUAUGUUAUCUACAUAAAUUGUUUUAUACAUUAUUUGCUCCCUACAACAAAAAGGUGAAACAAUAUCUGAAUUUUAUAUAUAUCAUUUAAUAAGAUAUUUGAUAAAUUUGUGGUUUAACUUUUAUGAAUCUUUAUAAACUCAAUGCUAAAAACAAGAAUAAAAUUUUACUUAGCAGAUUAUAUUAUAUCUCUUAUUUAUUCGUCAAUCGAAGAAAAAAGACCACAAAAUGAUAUCCAAAUAAAUAUCUAUCUUCAUCCUUAACCUUAAGAGAAGUGAUAGGAACACGACUGAAAGGACUAAGAUGUCCAAGAAAGAAGGGUGAAUUAGAUUAAUUUAAAAUUUCUCUCAUAAUCAUUAAAUCCUACCAAAUAGGUCACUGUUAGAGAGAAAACCAAACUAGACCUCGAUCAUAAACCCGGUCGACCUUUGGUGGACGUGGGGCAAGCAGGAUCGUGACAUUUAAUUUAAACAAGACCUAAUGUUGUACAUGUACAAUCACAAGGUUUUUGUAUAUGACAUUUCACUGUAAUUGAAUAUCCCUACUAUAGAAUGGGUGAUAACUCGUUCCUCGGUGCAUAAUCGAUCUGGUGCAAAUGUAAGACAAGUGCCAAACAAGAUUUCACUCAGAAUGGGUCAGUGGUGAGCUGAGCCAAGUCAAAGAGUUCACAUCGGCUAAGGAACGCACAAAUUGGAGCUUCCUGGACAUGCUUUGCUCUAGUAUCCAGACUUGACAGAAGACAUUUAGACAUAUCGUGAAUAAACAGAACAUCUGCCAAAGACAUAAUAAAACUUUUUGGCUUCUGUCCGAUGUGUGGCUUUCCUAUUCUGUUCUAGUGGAUGCAUAUGUCGUAUUAUAUGGUUUAUUCUGGUCCAAACACAAUUUUCUAAACUUGAUAUAAGUUGUCACUAGAGAUGAAGCCUUCCGUAUAUGGAAUAUGCAACUUGUGUGUGAAUUUUCUAGACAAAUUGUGGCGUCGGAAAAGGCUUGCUUAAAAUAACAUGAACAGAGCAGUACAGUAGCCAAUUAAUCUGGAUAGUGUCACGAUAGUAAUAUUCUUGUUUCUUGAUAAGCAUACCUUAAUCAGAAUGCGAUCAUUCAGUGGUUUCAUAUCCUUCACAUCAUCACUGUCAAGAAUACCAAUUAUGUCAUCUUUCAAAAUGAGAUGGUCGGCGUCAUUGAAUUUCAAUUCUGUGCCUGCAUAUUUUGAGUACACAACUUGUGCACCAACCUGUACAAGAUUAUAAUUCGAUGUCAAGUUACUUAAUUGGCUUAGGACAGUACAAGUGUUACAACGGAAAAAAAUGUUACUGGUGUCUGGUGACAAGGCCAUGAGGAAAAUUGUCUUCCAAAAUUAGAAGUUCAAACGUAGAAGAAGAUUGGAUACAGAAAAAAUCUCAGCAUACAAAACAUACAACUACUUUAUUUAUGGUAACCCGAAGGCCACACCGAGCUCCUCCAAGGUGCCGGCCUCCCUACAUCUAUGUAUUUCUAAUGCAGCUCUCCGUUCAUUGUUUUUGCUGCUGCUCUGCAAUGGAUAGAUUGACAGCACUUGUCCAUGAUCGAUACACACGGUAGAUUUAUAAUUAAUUGUAUAAUACUGUAAUCAUAUUUUAGACCUAUCUAUCUUUAUUGUACAGCAAUUUCUAUUUAACAAACUCAAAAGACAUUACAAUUAUUGCCUAUGAGCUAUUAUCAGCUCAGGGGCAUUCAGGUCGUUUUACAGCUAUAAUCAGGAUAGCAAAAAACUCAGCUUAUUGAGGCAGCAGAUUCUCUGGACAGCAAAAUUAUCAGACAAGCCUGCUACCCAGAGAAUCGAGUUCCUAAAAAGCGACUACAAACAGGGCCUAACUCUAUCGUUCAUAAGCCUAUUGCUUAUCUUUCACUAAGUAGCCUGCAUGAUACAUUACUGUUCUGGUUGGGUAAAUAAGAUGCUCUCCCCGUAGUGAAAUUCUAAUGCUAACAAGAUUAAAGUGAAGAACUUGCAUACAUGCAGCAAUACGUGUGCAACCAGCAAAAAAUUAGUUAGGUGAUAGAUAAAAGCCUGCAACAAUAUUACCUAACAGAGGUACAGGAAGGGCAUGGGACAGCCGGACCCUACUUUGGUCAAGUAAGCGCCCUCGGUUCCAAUGGCAUCAUCCCUCCCAUUGGUAUACUGAGAAAAUGACUCCACUCUCCUGGUGCUCAUGUCAAUGGUGACCAGCCACAUCUUUCUCACGUAUCCGAACUCGCUGAUGACAAACUAGCAACAAAAUGCUAUAUGAGCAAUAAUGUUCAGAAACAUAAAUCACAACACAAAUACCACCAUAGCAAUGAUGAUAAGAAACAUAAAUCACACUACAAAUAACACUAUAAUCAGUCACAUGACCAUCGUUCAAUGAUGCUCAAAUUACAGCUCUAACAGCAAAAUAUCAUAAUCUUUCAACAACUAAAAAAAUUGAACUAUUACAAUAGACAAAUAACACCAUAAUCAGUCACAUGACCAUCGUCCAAUGAUGCUCAAAUUGCGGCUUUAACAUCAAAAUGUCAUAUGAGCAACAUAAUCUUUCAACAACUAAAAAAUUUAACUAUUACAAUAGACGAGUUGAUGAUUAAACAAACAGUGGUAACAGUAGCACAAAAGUUCACAGCUCUAUAGCUUAGCUCCCUUUAAAUAAUCAGAUAUUUGGAAAUUUAAAAAUAAUCUUUCAUAAGAACUUCAGUAUACAUACAUAAAAUGUAAAACAUAUACUGCAACUCUGACAAGAUAAGAGGAAAACAAAUAUGAGUUACAAAUUCUAAACCUCGUGCAUUGUAGCUCUGGUUCUGAUGAUUCUGAUUCAGAUUCAGGUUCUGAUUUUGAAUCUGAUUCGGAUUUUAGAUCUGAUUUGGUGAUUUUUAAUCUGAUUUGGGUUCUGGUUUGAGUUCUGAUUAGAGUUAUGAUUUGGAUUCUGAUGACCGAUAAACCAUGCCAAAGACUCAAACCUAUGUGCACCCUAAUUUCUCAAGAACUCGGGGAAUUUUAUGCAUUUAAUCAUCCUCAUCUGAUGUGCGGUAAGAACCACCUGACCAGCUACUGGAUGCAAUUCCAAAUCCUGAAGUUCCUUUUCUGACUUUUAUUAAAGGAUGUUUGUUUAUUUGGGUAUUCUUUGUCAUGACCAUAAACUGUGGUGUGGUUAUAGAUGAAUGUUCUUUAAAGCAACACAUUUGUACUAACUUUGUGUUUUCAGUAAAUGUUCUCAACAACUGAUCCAUUUAGCUGCAAAGUGAUAACUGUGGCAACAUAAGCUUCAGGCAAUUGCAUCAAGAUGGUUAUCAUUUCAUCCUUUUUAAUGAACCACCUCAGAUGAUCAUACAUCUUAAAAAAAUAUGAUACUUGUUUGUUAACAACAAGAUACAUGAAUGUGAAACAAUUCUAUACCAUCAUUAGAAAUAAUUUUGUUAAGAAGAUAUUGUAUCUCAGCUGAAGGUACACUAGAGUAGAUAUCAUCUUUAAUAAUAGUAUGGACAGACACAUAAUUACUCUUAAUGCCCUCAGUAAGCUGUUCAGAGAUAAGAUUUCUAAGGUCACAUCCGUAAAUCUCAUCUCACCAAGAGAGCUUACUUUGAUAUUGUUGGCACUGAAAUCAGAUUAGAAAACACCACGCUCCUUAUUUUAUCUUAUCCUCUCAAGCAUUGUCCUAAAAGUUUGCUUACUAAUAUUUGUUGCAAUUUCAUAUGAAGAUACAAUAUCAGUCUCACCAGAUAAAACUAUAAAAACUCCAUCCACAUCUGUCAUCCCAAAUUAACGAACCAUCUCUCCUCCUGAUUUUAUGAAAUUAUUAAGAAAAAUUGAAUCAUUAUAACCUUCUUCAACUAGAGUGCCGUCAGGGAGCAGCAGCAUGUAGCGAGUGUAGGAGAUCUAAGGUAAAACUGGUUGCGGGACUGUUAACAAAAGAAACUGUACGUCAGACAAAUGUAUACCCAAAAAAGUUAUAAGAUACAAAGAUUAUUUUAUAUUGAGGGGAUGGGGACAGGAGCAGCCUGAAUCUCACACAGUCACCCUACGCCACAAAAAACUCAACAAAUGUAUGCACAACAAGACAAAACAGAAACAAUCCCUUCUAAUCUUACCAAUUCACAGAAUCAGUAAAAGUACAUGCACAAGAAUGCUACUGUUGAUUAGUAUAAAUAGCUUCAAUGAUCAAAGGAUGAGCAUUUGUACAAAACUAGUUGAACAUCAUUGAACUUAUUGACCAGGAAUAAACUCAUUCAAUACUAUAGUUAUAUAAACUCCAAAAAUACUCCAAAUCAAAGUUUUGAAUACUACAAUUUGAGAAUACCACAAUUUUAAUACAAAGUUUUUCAAAGAAGCCCGCCAAACACCUUGUGGCUAUGAAUGCCAUAGUUUUUUCUAAUACCAUGGUAUUACCUAAAAACUAUGAAAAACGUGGCUACUAAACAGGGCCUCAUAUACUUACCAUUAAGAGCAGCAGGAGCAGAAUGCGUUACCGCACCAUGAGUCGGAUCCACGUCCAUCGGGGAACUAGGUCCCGGAUCCAUCAGCAGCAGGUUCUGAAUCCGUUGCAGCACCAGCUGUAAAAUAGGAAUACCCAAAAGAAAGGCUCAGAUCCCGAACAAAGGCUCAGAUCCUCUUCAAAAUAGGAAUACCCAAUCCUAUUAUGUUCUAGAUCUCUUACACUCGCUACAUGCUGCUACUCCCUGACGAUACUCUUGUUGAAGAAUGUUGUGAUGUAUCAAUUUUUCUUGCUGAUUUCAUAGAAUCAGGAGGAGUGAUGAUUAAUGAAUUUGGGAUAACAAAUGUGGAUGUAGUUUUAUUGUUUUACUCGGUAAGACUGAUGUUGUAACUUCAUAUAAAAUUGCAACAAAUAUUAGUAAGCAGACUGUCAGGACAAUGCUUGGGGGAUAAGAGGAAAUAAGGAGUGUGAUGUUUGCUUAUCUAAUUUCAGUGUCAAACAAUAUCAAAGUAAGCUAUCUUGGAGAUGUGAGGUUUAGAGAUGUGACAAUUAUUAAAAAUCUUACCCCUGAACAGCUUCCUGAGGGUAUUUGGAGUAAUUAUGUGUCUGCUCAUGCUGUUAUUAAAGAUGAUACCUUUUCUGGUGCACCUCCAGCUGAGAUACAUUAUUUUUUUAACAAAAUUCUUACUGAUGAUGGUAGAGAAUUGUUUCACAUUCAUGCAUUUUUGCUGUUAGCAACCAAGUAUCAUAGUUUUUUAAGGAGAUAUAUGAUCAUCUAAGGUGGUCGAUUAAAAAGAAUGAAAUGAGAACCAUCUUUAUGCAAUUGCUUAUGUUGCCACAGUUACCACUUUGCAGAUGGAUGAAUCAGUUAGGACAAAUGUACUGAUUGAAAGAACACUCUUUUAUAAUCACACCACAACCUAUGAUCAUCCCAAAGAAGACCUAAGUAAACACACAUGCUUCAAUAAAAGUCAGAAAAAACACUUUAGGGUUUGAGAUUUGAUCCAGUAGCUGGUCAGGUGGUUCUUACCGCAGAGCAGAUAAUGAUGAUUAAAUGUCUGAAAUUUCUCGAAUUCUUGAGAAAUUGGGGUGCACAUAGGUUAAAACCUUUGGCAUGGUUUGUCGGUCAUAAGAAUUCAAAUCAAAACUUUAAUUAGAACCCAAACUAGAACCUAAAUUAGAUUCAAAAUCAAUUAAAUCAGAUCUGGAAUACGAACCAGAUUCAAAAUCAGAAUUCGAAUCUGAAUCAGAACUAGAGCUAUAAUGCACGGGGUUCAGAACUUGUAACUCAUGUUCGUUUUCCUUUUAUCUUGUCAGAGUUGCAGUAUGUGCUUUACAGUUUAGGCAGACAUACUGAAAUUAUUAUGAAAUAUUAUUUUUAGGUUUUCAAAUGUCUGAUCGUUUGGAGGGAGCUAAGCUAUAGAGAUGUGAACUUUUGUGCUACUGUUACCACUGUCUGUUUAAUUAUCAGUUCGUCUAUUGUAAUAGUUCAAUUUCUCUAGUUGUUGAAAGAUUAUGUUUCUGAACAUCAUUACUCAUAUGACAUUUUGCUGCUAGGGCCGCAAUUUGAGUAUCGUUGGACAAUGGUCAUGUGACUGAUUAUGGUGGUAUUUGUGAUGUGAUUUAUGUUUCUUAACGUCAUUGUUAUGGUGAUAUUUGUGUGGUGAUUUAUGUUUUUGAACAUCAUUGCUCAUAUGGUAUGUUGCUGCUAGUGCCGCAAUUUGAGCAUCAUUGGACAACGGUCAUGUGAUCAUGUUGGUAUUUGUGGUGUGAUUUAUGUUUUUGUACAAUCUCAUGAAUACUUAGCUUUGUCAGCACGCAGAGAAUGUUUUCUGGAUUAGGGUACAUUUGCUGUGCUGAUAGUUUCUUAGGUUUAGGUGCUCACCUCCCUCAUUUGACAUGAAUAAUGUAUGAGUAUCGUG
Long non-coding RNA from Zea mays, 9836 nucleotides. RefSeq lists it as uncharacterized. NCBI's taxonomy places the organism in Eukaryota, Viridiplantae, Streptophyta, Magnoliopsida, Poales, Poaceae. The transcript has 2 exons. The record is from RefSeq and is a predicted model, not a curated record.